This 497-nucleotide ribosomal RNA is filed under the name uncultured bacterium. Its description in RNAcentral is "partial 16S ribosomal RNA". It matches the Rfam family "Bacterial small subunit ribosomal RNA", at positions 28 to 507 of the family's 1533-position model. The record is from RNAcentral.
GAUGAACGCUGGCGGCGUGCCUAAUACAUGCAAGUCGAGCGAACAGACGAGGAGCUUGCUCCUCUGACGUUAGCGGCGGACGGGUGAGUAACACGUGGAUAACCUACCUAUAAGACUGGGAUAACUUCGGGAAACCGGAGCUAAUACCGGAUAAUAUAUUGAACCGCAUGGUUCAAUAGUGAAGGACGGUUUUGCUGUCACUUAUAGAUGGAUCCGCGCCGCAUUAGCUAGUUGGUAAGGUAACGGCUUACCAAGGCAACGAUGCGUAGCCGACCUGAGAGGGGGAUCGGCCACACUGGAACUGAGACACGGUCCAGACUCCUACGGGAGGCAGCAGUAGGGAAUCUUCCGCAAUGGGCGAAAGCCUGACGGAGCAACGCCGCGUGAGUGAUGAAGGUCUUCGGAUCGUAAAACUCUGUUAUUAGGGAAGAACAAAUGUGUAAGUAACUAUGCACGUCUUGACGGUACCUAAUCAGAAAGCCACGGCUAACUACGUG